This 166-nucleotide ribosomal RNA is filed under the name uncultured Bacillus sp. RNAcentral describes it as "partial 16S ribosomal RNA". It matches the Rfam family "Bacterial small subunit ribosomal RNA", at positions 367 to 529 of the family's 1533-position model. Lineage: Bacteria; Bacillati; Bacillota; Bacilli; Caryophanales; Bacillaceae. RNAcentral also lists the same sequence under 1 other name. The record is from RNAcentral.
CUGAUCAUGGCGCAGCCUGAUGCAGCCAUGCCGCGUGUGUGAGAAGGCCUUCGGGUUGUAAGCACUUUCAGCGAGGAGGAAGGUGGUGAGCUUAAUACGCUCAUCAAUUGACGUUACUCGCAGAAGAAGCACCGGCUAACUCCGUGCCAGCAGCCGCGGUAAUAGA